GAUGAGGUGGCUGAGUGUUUAAGGCAAUGGACUAUUAAUCCAUUGUGCUCUGCGCGCAUGGGUUCAAAUCCCAUCCUUGUCA
This is a non-coding RNA of Gopherus flavomarginatus (Mexican gopher tortoise), 82 nucleotides long. The record is from the annotation of a RefSeq genome assembly. Lineage: Eukaryota; Metazoa; Chordata; Testudines; Testudinidae.